RNAcentral lists this ribosomal RNA (497 nucleotides) under uncultured bacterium. RNAcentral's name for it is "partial 16S ribosomal RNA". It matches the Rfam family "Bacterial small subunit ribosomal RNA", at positions 28 to 507 of the family's 1533-position model. The record is from RNAcentral.
GAUGAACGCUGGCGGCGUGCCUAAUACAUGCAAGUCGAGCGAACGGACGAGAAGCUUGCUUUUCUUAUGUUAGCGGCGGACGGGUGAGUAACACGUGGAUAACCUACAUAUAAGACUGGGAUAACUUCGGGAAACCGGAGCUAAUACCGGUUAAUAUUUUGAACCGCAUGGUUCAAAAGUGAAAGACCGUCUUGCUGUCACUUAUAGAUGGAACCGCGCUGCAUUAGCUAGUUGGUAAGGUAACGGCUUACCAAGGCAACGAUGCAUAGCCGACCUGAGAGGAUGAUCGGCCACACUGGAACUGAGACACGGUCCAGACUCCUACGGGAGGCAGCAGUAGGGAAUCUUCCGCAAUGGGCGAAAGCCUGACGGAGCAACGCCGCGUGAGUGAUGAAGGUCUUCGGAUCGUAAAACUCUGUUAUUAGGGAAGAACAUAUGUGUAAGUAACUGUGCACAUCUUGACGGUACCUAAUCAGAAAGCCACGGCUAACUACGUG